GCUAUCGGAUUGAUACUAAGCCAUGCGAGUCAUUGUAGCAAUACAAGGCAUACGGCUCAGUAACGCGUAGUCAACCUAACCUAUGGACGGGAAUAACCUCGGGAAACUGAGAAUAAUGCCCGAUAGAACAUUAUGCCUGGAAUGGUUUAUGUUCCAAAUGAUUUAUCGCCGUAGGAUAGGACUGCGGCCUAUCAGUUUGUUGGUGAGGUAAUGGCCCACCAAGACUAUUACAGGUACGGGCUCUGAGAGGAGUAGCCCGGGGAUGGGUACUGAGACACGGACCCAGGCCCUAUGGGGCGCAGCAGGCGAGAAAACUUUGCAAUGUGCGAAAGCACGACAAGGUUAAUCCGAGUGGUUUCUGCUAAAGGAACCUUUUGUCAGUCCUAGAAACACUGAUGAAUAAGGGGUGGGCAAGUUCUGGUGUCAGCCGCCGCGGUAAAACCAGCACCUCAAGUGGUCAGGAUGAUUAUUGGGCCUAAAGCAUCCGUAGCCGGCUCUGUAAGUUUUCGGUUAAAUCUGUACGCUCAACGUACAGGCUGCCGGGAAUACUGCAAAGCUAGGGAGUGGGAGAGGUAGACGGUACUCGGUAGGAAGGGGUAAAAUCCUUUGAUCUAUUGAUGACCACCUGUGGCGAAGGCGGUCUACCAGAACACGUCCGACGGUGAGGGAUGAAAGCUGGGGGAGCAAACCGGAUUAGAUACCCGGGUAGUCCCAGCUGUAAACCAUGCAAACUCAGUGAUGCAUUGGCUUGUGGCCAAUGCAGUGCUGCAGGGAAGCCGUUAAGUUUGCCGCCUGGGAAGUACGUACGCAAGUAUGAAACUUAAAGGAAUUGGCGGGGGAGCACCAC
RNAcentral lists this ribosomal RNA (847 nucleotides) under uncultured archaeon. RNAcentral's name for it is "bacterial SSU rRNA". It matches the Rfam family "Archaeal small subunit ribosomal RNA", at positions 29 to 882 of the family's 1478-position model. The record is from RNAcentral.